ACGGUCUUUAUCCCACCGUCAACCGCGGUUCGUUAAAGCCUCCGCUCUAUAUAAAGGAGAAAGCAUCCGAGAAAAUGCAUCCUCUUUGUCGGUCAUUGAUGCGAGGGUUCGGAAGGUGCUUCCGCCGGCUUCUCCCCUGAUCCCUAGCGGCUGCUAAAUCCUGUAUUUCUUCUAUGGCUGAUACACAGUCGGUUGCUACACUAAUUGAAUAUACUACUUCAAAGAUACAACAAUUGCACCAGGUGUUUUCUGAACUUGAGAGCCCAUAUCUUUGCACUUGAAAUGGAAAGAGCUUGAAGAACAUUUUCAUGGCCUUGAGAGGUCUCUAAAGAAAAAGGUUUGCUGAGUUGGAAGAUCAGGAGAAUGAAUAUGUUACACAGCUCAAAGAGACCCAAGAGAUGUUGGAGAAACAUGAGGCUGCUGUUAUAGUUAAGGAGCUUGUAUCCCUUGAUAAAUUGCAGGAGAAAAGAGAUGUUGCACUCUCUGCUUUAUUUGAUAAAUACAAAACCUGUUUUUCAGAAACCAGUGCUGUUGGUGAGGCUGUCAGCAAUGGGAUGGCUAUGCUCUUGUUUCAAAAGAGAACUCUUGUGUCACACCAGUUGUUUAUGGCUCAGGUGCAAGUCCUACAGGAAAUGGAAAUGAAGGCAGUGAACAACUGAACAUCCCUCAGAGCUGGUCAAUCUCUGUAAAGAAAUGGAUGCGGAAGGCCUUUUCAAGUUUGUUUCAGAUAAUAGGAAAAACUCUCGCACUUAACAGUGCAUCCAAUCCUUUCACUUUAGUUUUAGAUUCCCUAAAGCGCUUCUAAUACUGGAGAGAUUAUUGGGUCAAAAAAGGAUGGGUUUGGGCCAGCAAAGGACUUGUCUUAUGUUAAUGGAAUCACUCAAACAACUGCUCGUAUAUCAUUUAGGGUGCGUUUGGUUCAGAGUUAUCUUUGAUAACUUUGGUUAUCCAUCCAAUGCUAUCAACCAAAACCUUGUUUGAUUUUGAUAA
Long non-coding RNA from Zingiber officinale, 990 nucleotides. RefSeq lists it as uncharacterized. The record is from RefSeq and is a predicted model, not a curated record. NCBI's taxonomy places the organism in Eukaryota, Viridiplantae, Streptophyta, Magnoliopsida, Zingiberales, Zingiberaceae. The transcript has 2 exons.